AGUGAACGCUGGCGGUAGGCCUAACACAUGCAAGUCGAACGGCAGCACAGUAAGAGCUUGCUCUUACGGGUGGCGAGUGGCGGACGGGUGAGGAAUACAUCGGAAUCUACUUUUUCGUGGGGGAUAACGUAGGGAAACUUACGCUAAUACCGCAUACGACCUACGGGUGAAAGCAGGGGAUCUUCGGACCUUGCGCGAUUGAAUGAGCCGAUGUCGGAUUAGCUAGUUGGCGGGGUAAAGGCCCACCAAGGCGACGAUCCGUAGCUGGUCUGAGAGGAUGAUCAGCACCACUGGAACUGGGACAGGGUCCGACGUCAUACGGGAGGCAGCGGUCGGGAAGAUGGGAACGUAGGCGCAAGCCUAACCCAGCGAUACCCGGUGGGUGAAGAAGGCCUUCGGUUUGUAAAACUCUUUUGUUGGGAAAGAAAAGCAGCAGGUGAAUACCCGGCUGUUCUGAGGGUACCCAAUGAAAAAGCACCGGCUAACUUCGUG
This 492-nucleotide ribosomal RNA is filed under the name uncultured bacterium. RNAcentral describes it as "partial 16S ribosomal RNA". It matches the Rfam family "Bacterial small subunit ribosomal RNA", at positions 29 to 507 of the family's 1533-position model. The record is from RNAcentral.